This 253-nucleotide ribosomal RNA is filed under the name uncultured bacterium. RNAcentral's name for it is "partial 16S ribosomal RNA". It matches the Rfam family "Bacterial small subunit ribosomal RNA", at positions 524 to 776 of the family's 1533-position model. The record is from RNAcentral.
UACGUAGGUGGCAAGCGUUGUCCGGAUUUACUGGGCGUAAAGAGCGCGCAGGCGGUCGGUCAAGUCGCGUGUGAAAGCCCCCGGCUCAACUGGGGAGGGUCACGCGAUACUGAUCGACUCGAAGGCAGGAGAGGGUAGUGGAAUUCCCGGUGUAGUGGUGAAAUGCGUAGAUAUCGGGAGGAACACCAGUGGCGAAGGCGGCUUCCUGGCCUGUUCUUGACGCUGAGGCGCGAAAGCUAGGGGAGCAAACGGG